RNAcentral lists this ribosomal RNA (245 nucleotides) under uncultured Lactobacillus sp. RNAcentral describes it as "partial 16S ribosomal RNA". It matches the Rfam family "Bacterial small subunit ribosomal RNA", at positions 118 to 355 of the family's 1533-position model. The record is from RNAcentral. Lineage: Bacteria; Bacillati; Bacillota; Bacilli; Lactobacillales; Lactobacillaceae.
UGGGGAACCUGCUCCAUAGUCUGGGAUACCACUUGGAAACAGGUGCUAAUACCGGAUAAGAAAGCGGAUCGCAUGAUCAGCUUUUAAAAGGCGGCGUAAGCUGUCGCUAUGGGAUGGCCCCGCGGUGCAUUACCUAGUUGGUAAGGUAAAGGCUUACCAAGGCGAUGAUGCAUAGCCGAGUUGAGAGACUGAUCGGCCACAUUGGGACUGAGACACGGCCCAAACUCCUACGGGAGGCAGCAGCC